AUCAACUUUCGAUGGUAGGAUAGAGGCCUACCAUGGUGGUAACGGGUAACGGGGUGUUAGGGCACGACACCGGAGAGGGAGCCUGAGAAACGGCUACCACAUCCAAGGAAGGCAGUAGGCGCGCAAAUUACCCAAUCCCAACACGGGGAGGUAGUGACAAUAAAUAACAAUACAGGGUUCUUAUGGAUCUUGUAAUUGGAAUGAGUACAAUUUAAAUCUCUUAACGAGGAACAAUUGGAGGGCAAGUCUGGUGCCAGCAGCCGCGGUAAUUCCAGCUCCAAUAGCGUAUAUUAAAGUUGUUGCAGUUAAAAAGCUCGUAGUUGAAUUUCGGGAUCAAUACGUCGGUCGUGCCUCUGGUAUGUACUGGUGUUAUUGAUUUCUCCUUUCUGAUGAGCCAUGAUGUCAUUAAUUUGGUGUUGUGGGGAGUCAGGACUGUUACUUUGAAAAAAUUAGAGUGUUUAAAGCAGGCUUACGCCUGAAUACAUUAGCAUGGAAUAAUGAAAUAGGACGUUCGAUCUUAUUUUGUUGGUUUCUAGGAUCAACGUAAUGAUUAAUAGGGAUAGUUGGGGGCAUUAGUAUUCAAUUGUCAGAGGUGAAAUUCUUGGAUUUAUUGAAGACUAACUACUGCGAAAGCAUUUGCCAAGGAUGUUUUCAUUAAUCAAGAACGAAAGUUAGGGGAUCGAAGACGAUCAGAUACCGUCGUAGUCUUAACCAUAAACUAUGCCGACUAGGGAUCGGAUGAUGUUAAUUUUUUAAUGACUCAUUCGGCGCCUUACGGGAAACCAAAGUGUUUGGGUUC
RNAcentral lists this ribosomal RNA (799 nucleotides) under uncultured Glomeromycotina. RNAcentral's name for it is "SSU rRNA". It matches the Rfam family "Eukaryotic small subunit ribosomal RNA", at positions 314 to 1114 of the family's 1831-position model. Lineage: Eukaryota; Fungi; Glomeromycota. The record is from RNAcentral.